Molecule: ribosomal RNA, 183 nt
Filed under: Triticum aestivum (bread wheat)
Lineage: Eukaryota; Viridiplantae; Streptophyta; Magnoliopsida; Poales; Poaceae
Description: partial small subunit ribosomal RNA
Source: RNAcentral
GGCAAGUGCGCGGUGCGGUGCGCGCGGUCGCGCGCGAAGCGGGGGGCGUGCAUGAAGUACUGCGGGCUGUGCUGCGAGGAGUGCGCCUGCGUGCCCACGGGGAGGAGCGGCAGCCGCGUCGAGUGCCCCUGCUACCGCGACAUGCUCACCGCCGGGCCCAGGAAGAGGCCCAAGUGCCCCUGA